Mus musculus (house mouse) is the source of this 4377-nucleotide RNA transcript. It is a transcript of the gene named nucleotide-binding oligomerization domain containing 1, with no coding region annotated. NCBI's taxonomy places the organism in Eukaryota, Metazoa, Chordata, Mammalia, Rodentia, Muridae. The transcript has 12 exons. The record is from RefSeq and is marked validated.
CAGGGGGCGGGCCUUGGCUCUCCGCGGCCGUGGCAGAGCUGGCACGACGAGUUCCCAGGGUGUCACCCCUGGGCGAACUGCGAGGCCUGCCCACUCCCACUGCGCAGUGGCCGCUCGUCCGAUGCAGUGUGCGGCGGCUCCUUCCCGGGAAACGAGACAGGGGGGCAGCGCUACGGAUGGUCCCCGCCUCCUCCGCCCGCUCCGCCCUGUUCCCUCCCCGGAGCCCACCCGAGCCCAGGCGCGGCCGGCCGUAGACACAGCCAGCUCCUGAUCCCGGACCGCGAGCGGUAGCGCCCUCCCUCCCAGCUGUUGUCCCGCCCGAUCCGCGACCCUAGUCCCCGGAUCCCCUUGCUGAGAGUCACCGUACUCCAGGGCCAACUGAGCCAAAGUCCUGCCAACUUGGGUCAGCAAUGAAAGGCAGGAUCCCGGGUGGUGGCCCUGAAUCCUGAUUUGUCUGCCCUGCCAGCGAGACACAUGUGGUCAAAGAUGAAUUUGAGAAAAGUAGCUGCUGGCUACUUGAACAAUGGAGGAACACGGCCAUCAUGAGAUGGAAGGCACCCCAUUGGGUUGUCACUCCCACAUUAAACUGCUGAAGAUCAACAGGGAACAUCUGGUCACCAACAUUCGGAACACUCAGUGUCUGGUGGACAACUUGCUGGAGAAUGGCUACUUCUCAGCCGAAGAUGCAGAGAUUGUGUGUGCCUGUCCCACCAAGCCUGACAAGGUCCGAAAGAUCCUUGACCUGGUGCAGAGCAAAGGCGAGGAGGUGUCUGAGUUCUUCCUCUACGUGCUGCAGCAGCUGGAGGAUGCUUACGUGGACCUCAGGCUGUGGCUCUCAGAAAUUGGCUUCUCCCCUUCCCAGCUCAUUCGGACCAAAACUAUCGUCAAUACUGACCCAGUAAGCAGGUAUACCCAACAGCUGCGACACCAACUGGGCCGCGACUCCAAGUUCAUGCUGUGCUACGCCCAGAAGGAGGACCUGCUGCUGGAGGAGACCUAUAUGGACACACUCAUGGAGCUGGUAGGCUUCAACAAUGAAAACCUGGGCAGCCUAGGAGGCCUGGAUUGCCUGCUGGACCACAGUACGGGCGUCCUCAACGAGCAUGGCGAGACUGUCUUCGUGUUCGGGGACGCGGGAGUGGGCAAGUCCAUGCUGCUGCAGAGGUUGCAGAGCCUCUGGGCGUCAGGCAGGUUGACCUCCACAGCCAAAUUCUUCUUCCACUUCCGCUGCCGCAUGUUCAGCUGCUUCAAGGAGAGCGACAUGCUGAGUCUGCAGGACCUGCUCUUCAAGCAUUUCUGCUACCCGGAGCAGGACCCCGAGGAGGUGUUCUCCUUCUUGCUGCGCUUUCCCCACACAGCGCUCUUCACUUUUGACGGCCUGGAUGAGCUGCACUCAGACUUCGACCUGAGCCGCGUGCCGGAUAGCUGCUGCCCCUGGGAGCCGGCUCACCCUCUGGUCCUGCUGGCUAACCUCCUAAGUGGGAGGCUGCUCAAGGGUGCCGGCAAAUUGCUCACUGCUCGCACAGGCGUGGAGGUCCCCCGCCAGCUCCUGCGCAAAAAGGUGCUGCUCCGGGGCUUCUCCCCAAGUCACCUGCGCGCCUAUGCCCGCCGGAUGUUCCCCGAGCGCACAGCGCAGGAGCAUCUGCUGCAGCAGCUGGAUGCCAACCCCAACCUCUGCAGCCUGUGCGGGGUGCCGCUCUUCUGUUGGAUCAUCUUCCGUUGUUUCCAGCACUUCCAGACGGUCUUCGAGGGCUCCUCUUCACAGUUGCCGGACUGUGCUGUGACCCUGACCGAUGUCUUUCUGCUGGUCACUGAGGUGCAUCUGAACAGGCCGCAGCCCAGCAGCCUGGUGCAGCGCAACACGCGCAGCCCGGCGGAAACCCUACGUGCAGGCUGGCGCACGCUGCAUGCGCUGGGAGAGGUGGCUCACCGAGGCACCGACAAGAGCCUCUUUGUGUUUGGCCAGGAGGAGGUGCAGGCGUCGAAGCUGCAGGAAGGAGAUCUGCAGCUGGGCUUCCUGCGGGCUUUGCCCGAUGUGGGCCCUGAGCAGGGCCAGUCUUACGAAUUUUUCCACCUUACGCUCCAGGCCUUCUUCACCGCCUUCUUCCUGGUAGCAGAUGACAAAGUGAGCACCCGGGAGUUGCUGAGGUUCUUUCGAGAAUGGACGUCUCCUGGAGAGGCAACAAGCUCGUCCUGCCAUUCUUCCUUCUUCUCCUUCCAGUGCCUGGGCGGCAGAAGCCGGUUGGGCCCUGAUCCUUUCAGGAACAAAGAUCACUUCCAGUUCACCAACCUCUUCCUGUGCGGGCUACUGGCCAAAGCCCGACAGAAACUCCUUCGGCAGCUGGUGCCCAAGGCUAUCCUGAGGAGGAAGCGCAAGGCCCUGUGGGCUCACCUGUUUGCUAGCCUGCGCUCCUACUUGAAGAGCCUACCUCGGGUCCAGUCUGGAGGCUUUAACCAGGUGCAUGCCAUGCCCACAUUCCUGUGGAUGCUGCGCUGCAUCUAUGAGACGCAGAGCCAGAAGGUGGGGCGCCUCGCCGCCAGGGGCAUCAGUGCGGACUACCUCAAGCUGGCCUUUUGCAACGCUUGCUCUGCGGACUGCAGCGCCCUGUCCUUCGUCCUGCAUCACUUCCACAGGCAGCUGGCCCUAGACCUGGACAACAACAACCUCAAUGACUAUGGCGUGCAGGAGCUGCAGCCUUGCUUUAGCCGUCUCACGGUUAUCAGACUCAGCGUCAACCAGAUCACCGACACGGGGGUGAAGGUGCUAUGUGAGGAACUGACCAAGUAUAAGAUCGUGACGUUCCUGGGUUUAUACAACAACCAGAUAACUGAUAUCGGAGCCAGGUAUGUGGCCCAAAUCCUGGAUGAAUGCAGAGGCCUCAAGCACCUUAAGUAAACUAGGGAAAAACAGAAUAACAAGUGAGGGCGGGAAGUGUGUGGCUUUGGCUGUGAAGAACAGCACCUCCAUCGUUGAUGUUGGGAUGUGGGGUAAUCAGAUUGGAGACGAAGGGGCAAAGGCCUUCGCAGAGGCAUUGAAGGACCACCCCAGCCUGACCACUCUCAGUCUUGCAUUCAAUGGCAUCUCUCCGGAGGGAGGGAAGAGCCUUGCGCAGGCCCUGAAGCAGAACACCACACUGACAGUAAUCUGGCUGACCAAAAAUGAACUUAAUGAUGAGUCUGCAGAGUGCUUCGCUGAGAUGCUGAGAGUGAACCAGACGCUACGGCAUUUAUGGCUGAUCCAGAAUCGCAUCACAGCCAAGGGGACAGCGCAGCUGGCGAGGGCACUGCAGAAGAACACAGCCAUAACAGAGAUUUGUCUCAAUGGAAACUUGAUUAAGCCCGAGGAGGCCAAAGUCUUCGAGAAUGAGAAGAGAAUCAUCUGCUUCUGACGGACGCUCCUGGGCAGGAUCUUUGUCCUAGGUUGCUCCUCAGUCACAGACAGCACUGUGCAGUCAGCAGGGUAGCAGGAUGCUGUGCAGCGCCUGCAGCAAGGUGCCUGUCAGGAGCCCACACCUCCACAGUGCACACCGAUGUCCCCUGCUCAUGCUUGGACUGGUAGCACCCGCGCCGCGGCUGAGACCCUGCAGACGCAGGGAGUCUUAGGAACCAUCGUCACCACUCAAAGCCAGCAGGGCAUCUUCUGUACAAAGAUCUCCCUGCAUAUCCACUAGACGGAAGCUGAAGGAACGCAACAGCAGAGGAGGCCAACAGACGCCUGGCUGAAGGCUCCGUGGGACCAACGGUGUCACCUUCAGAAAAGAGCUGGGAACUUGAGCAGAGCCGAUGGUAACUUCUUGGGGAAAGAAGGCACCCAGUGACUGCAUGGUUAUUCUGAGUCCUCCUUCCUCUGCUUAGUCCCUCUCACUGUACAGGUCUGUUUCUUCCUCGCAGCUGUGGCUGCUGAAGUAGGUCCACUGUGGGGAGAGCUCAUCACAGACUUUGGUUCGGUUCUGGAUUCUCAGUGGUGGCAACCGAGAGUCAGACGAUACCCUCUAGGUCAGUCUCAGAGGAUCUCUAUGCUGUGAGAGGGUUGAGGGCCCACCCAGAAUUUUUUUUUUUUACCAGUUUUUACUGUGCCUGCCCCAGGAGGGAGAAUUACUUCCCAGCCUCCACAGCAGCAGGCAUGGCUUGCCUCAAUGGUCCUGAGAUCCCAACAAAACUCUCUCCCUUGCCUGUGAGCAGAAAGUAUCUUCAUGUCCUCAGAAGUUGGAGGGUGACUGGACACAGUUAAGACUCAGAGAGCCAGCUGAUAGCUCAAAGCAAAGCAUGGCACAUACCCACCACCAUACCAUGGUGCGCAUGGGAUGGGACAGUUGGAAUGUUGCAGAUAACGUGUUCUUUUGCCAGUUCAUUUGUUAAUAAAAUAUUUAAAACGUU